This 497-nucleotide ribosomal RNA is filed under the name uncultured bacterium. RNAcentral describes it as "partial 16S ribosomal RNA". It matches the Rfam family "Bacterial small subunit ribosomal RNA", at positions 28 to 507 of the family's 1533-position model. The record is from RNAcentral.
GAUGAACGCUGGCGGCGUGCCUAAUACAUGCAAGUCGAGCGAACGGACGAGACGCUGGCUUCUCUGAUGUUAGCAGCGGACGGGUGAGUAACACGUGGAUAACCUACCUAUAAGACUUGGAUAACUUCGGGAAACCGUAGCUAAUACCGGAAAAUAUUUUGCACCGCAUGGUUCCAAAGUGAAAGACGCUAUUGGUGGCACUAAUGGAUUGACCCGCGCUGCAUUAUCUGGUUGGUAAGGUAACGGGUUAGCAAGGCAACGAUGCAUAGCCGACCUGAGGGGGUGGUCGGCCACACUGGAACUGAGACACGGCCCAGACUCCUACGGGGGGCAGCAGUAGGGAAUCUUCCGCAAUGGGCGAAAGCCUGACGGAGCAACGCCGCGUGAGUGAUGAAGGUCUUCGGAUCGGAAAGCUCUGUUAUUAGGGAAGAAGAUAUGUGUAAGUAACUGUGCACAUCUUGACGGUACCUAAUGAGAAAGCCACGGCUAACUACGUG